This 1066-nucleotide ribosomal RNA is filed under the name Aliidiomarina sp. RNAcentral describes it as "bacterial SSU rRNA". It matches the Rfam family "Bacterial small subunit ribosomal RNA", at positions 39 to 1096 of the family's 1533-position model. Lineage: Bacteria; Pseudomonadati; Pseudomonadota; Gammaproteobacteria; Alteromonadales; Idiomarinaceae. The record is from RNAcentral.
GCGGCAGGCCUAACACAUGCAAGUCGAGCGGUAACAUUUCUAGCUUGCUAGAAGAUGACGAGCGGCGGACGGGUGAGUAAUACUUGGGGAUCUGCCUGAUGGCGGGGGACAACCACUGGAAACGGUGGCUAAUACCGCAUAAUGCCUACGGGCCAAAGUGUGGGACCUUCGGGCCACAUGCCAUCAGAUGAACCCAAGCGAGAUUAGCUAGUUGGUGAGGUAACGGCUCACCAAGGCGACGAUCUCUAGCUGUUCUGAGAGGAUGAUCAGCCACACUGGGACUGAGACACGGCCCAGACUCCUACGGGAGGCAGCAGUGGGGAAUAUUGGACAAUGGGCGCAAGCCUGAUCCAGCCAUGCCGCGUGUGUGAAGAAGGCCUUCGGGUUGUAAAGCACUUUCAGUGGUGAGGAAGGCGUUGUAGUUAAUAGCUGCAACGAUUGACGUUAGCCACAGAAGAAGCACCGGCUAACUCCGUGCCAGCAGCCGCGGUAAUACGGAGGGUGCGAGCGUUAAUCGGAAUUACUGGGCGUAAAGCGCACGUAGGCGGCUUGUUAAGCAAGAUGUGAAAGCCCAGGGCUCAACCUUGGAAUUGCAUUUUGAACUGGCAAGCUAGAGUUUUGAAGAGGGUGGUAGAAUUUCCAGUGUAGCGGUGAAAUGCGUAGAUAUUGGAAGGAAUACCAGUGGCGAAGGCGGCCACCUGGUCAAAAACUGACGCUGAGGAGCGAAAGCGUGGGGAGCAAACAGGAUUAGAUACCCUGGUAGUCCACGCCGUAAACGAUGUCAACUAGUUGUUCGUGUCUUUGAGACGUGAGUAACGCAGCUAACGCACUAAGUUGACCGCCUGGGGAGUACGGCCGCAAGGUUAAAACUCAAAUGAAUUGACGGGGGCCCGCACAAGCGGUGGAGCAUGUGGUUUAAUUCGAUGCAACGCGAAGAACCUUACCAUCCCUUGACAUCCAGAGAAUUUUCUAGAGAUAGAUUAGUGCCUUCGGGAACUCUGAGACAGGUGCUGCAUGGCUGUCGUCAGCUCGUGUUGUGAGAUGUUGGGUUAAGUCCCGCAACGAG